RNAcentral lists this ribosomal RNA (796 nucleotides) under uncultured archaeon. Its description in RNAcentral is "bacterial SSU rRNA". It matches the Rfam family "Archaeal small subunit ribosomal RNA", at positions 85 to 879 of the family's 1478-position model. The record is from RNAcentral.
ACGGCUCAGUAACACGUGGAUAACCUGCCCUUGGGUCCGGCAUAACCCCGGGAAACUGGGGAUAAUACCGGAUAACGCAUAUAUGCUGGAAUGCUUUAUGCGUCAAAUGGAUUCGUCUGCCCAAGGAUGGGUCUGCGGCCUAUCAGGUAGUAGUGGGUGUAAUGUACCUACUAGCCGACGACGGGUACGGGUUGUGAGAGCAAGAGCCCGGAGAUGGAUUCUGAGACAUGAAUCCAGGCCCUACGGGGCGCAGCAGGCGCGAAAACUUUACAAUGCGGGAAACCGUGAUAAGGGGACACCGAGUGCCAGCAUCAUAUGCUGGCUGUCCAGGUGUGUAAACUACACCUGUUAGCAAGGGCCGGGCAAGACCGGUGCCAGCCGCCGCGGUAACACCGGCGGCCCGAGUGGUGAUCGUGAUUAUUGGGUCUAAAGGGUCCGUAGCCGGUUUGGUCAGUCCUCCGGGAAAUCUGACGGCUCAACCGUUAGGCUUUCGGGGGAUACUGCCGGGCUUGGAACCGGGAGAGGUAAGAGGUACUACAGGGGUAGGAGUGAAAUCUUGUAAUCCCUGUGGGACCACCUGUGGCGAAGGCGUCUUACCAGAACGGGUUCGACGGUGAGGGACGAAAGCUGGGGGCACGAACCGGAUUAGAUACCCGGGUAGUCCCAGCUGUAAACGAUGCUCGCUAGGUGUCAGGCAUGGCGCGACCGUGUCUGGUGCCGCAGGGAAGCCGUGAAGCGAGCCACCUGGGAAGUACGGCCGCAAGGCUGAAACUUAAAGGAAUUGGCGGGGGAGCAC